AGGACGAACGCUGGCGGCGUGCUUAACACAUGCAAGUCGAGCGGAAAGGCCCUUCGGGGUACUCGAGCGGCGAACGGGUGAGUAACACGUGAGCAACCUGCCCCUGGCUCUGGGAUAGCCUCCGGAAACGGGGAUUAAUACCGGACAUGACCUGCUGCUGCAUGGCGGUGGGUGGAAAGUUUUUCGGCCAGGGUGGGGCUCGCGGCCUAUCAGCUUGUUGGGGGGGUGACGGCCCACCAAGGCGACGACGGGUAGCCGGCCUGAGAGGGCGACCGGCCACACUGGGACUGAGACACGGCCCAGACUCCUACGGGAGGCAGCGGUGGGGAAUAUUGCGCAAUGGGGGGAACCCUGACGCAGCGACGCCGCGUGCGGGAUGAAGGCCUUCGGGUUGUAAACCGCUUUCACCAGGGACGAAGCGAGAGUGACGGUACCUGGGGAAGAAGCGCCGGCUAACUACGUGCCAGCAGCCGCGGUAAUACGUAGGGCGCGAGCGUUGUCCGGAAUUAUUGGGCGUAAAGAGCUCGUANGCGGCUGGUUGCGUCUGCUGUGAAAUCCCGGGGCUUAACCCCGGGCGUGCAGUGGAUACGGGCCGGCUGGAGGCAGGCAGGGGAGAAUGGAAUUCCCGGUGUAGCGGUGAAAUGCGCAGAUAUCGGGAGGAACACCGGUGGCGAAGGCGGUCUCUGGGCCUGUACUGACGCUGAGNGCGAAAGCGUGGGGAGCGACAGAUA
Molecule: ribosomal RNA, 731 nt
Filed under: uncultured soil bacterium
Lineage: Bacteria
Description: bacterial SSU rRNA
Rfam family: Bacterial small subunit ribosomal RNA
Source: RNAcentral